CGGAGAUGGAAUUCACACGGCCUCGUGAGCGUCGAUCUGUGCAGGCCCCUGCAUGUCCGCGCCGGGCUCGUUUGGUGCCGAGAAGAUGACCUCCACGGAGAAGGCCUCCAGAACAGGAGGAGAACAUACAAAUGCCACACAGUAAGGCGUCCGAGUCAGGAAUCGAACCCAGGAACGUCUCGCCAUGGUGCUGUGUGGGAGGGGGUUGUGCGUCUCACGCUCAGGGCUACCUGGGCUCCCUCAAACUCGUCGCUGUCGACCAGCCAGGGAAAGGAUCGCCCGUGUAGGCCCACGCAGGCCGCCGGGGCGAGUGCUCGCGAGCGAGUCGCGGCUUAAGAAGGCUCGGCGCGGCGCACCGGUGGAGCGGCGGGGAGACGUGGCGGCGAGGAGUUUGGACCACGCCGCGGGGACACUCACGCAAGCGACGGGACGUUGUGGUCGUCGAUGAAGAUGCGGUCCACGCGGUAGUGGAAGUAUUUGGCGUCGUAGCCCUUCUCACCUGUGGGCGUUGGCAAUGCUCGUUACCACCACCAUCACCACCACCACCACCGCCGCUACCACGAUAACCACCUAGCCAUCAGCCAAAACCUCAACAGUGCACAUCACGAUUCGACACAAACGAGUGCCCAUCCCCAUUCUGCUGUCACCAUCCUAGACGCUCACCCAGAUCUGGAGGAAUGCUGCUGCUGCUGCCGAACAGAAUGGAACAAACCGCAGACGUACAGCUAAAACAGCUCGUUCGAGACCCAAACAUCAUCACACAUUCUCUGACGUCCCUCCUCCCUCCUCCUCCUCCUCCUCCCCAAAGACAAUCAAUGUGGCCAUCAGCCACAUUAGAACAUCAAUGGGCCAAUGCGCACAUCAUUGCGACGUAUCAUUGCGGUCGCAUCACGCAGGCGAUGAACUCGCUGUGUUGAUCCGCGGGGGGGGGGGGGCGGGGUUAGGUGUGGGUUGAUGAUGCUCUGUGUGUGGCUGUGUUCCCGGAAGCAGCCGAGUGACUUACUGCAUAGGUUGUAGACUUUGUAGUGGUCCAUGUGUUUUGAAUUCAAGAACCGCUGCACUUCCUACGAUGACACACACACGUGAGAGAGAAACGCACGCGCGUGGCGUAACAGCAUCGCAACCAUCCACCAUGGCCACCGAUUGUGAUCGGCACCGAUUUUACAACAACAACAACCCCCACCUCCCCAUCUCAAAUUGGACAGGAGCUGUCCCCCCCUCCCUAACCCCCCCC
This is a long non-coding RNA of Petromyzon marinus (sea lamprey), 1234 nucleotides long. RefSeq lists it as uncharacterized. NCBI's taxonomy places the organism in Eukaryota, Metazoa, Chordata, Hyperoartia, Petromyzontiformes, Petromyzontidae. The record is from RefSeq and is a predicted model, not a curated record.